RNAcentral lists this small nuclear RNA (302 nucleotides) under Heterocephalus glaber (naked mole-rat). RNAcentral describes it as "7SK RNA". It matches the Rfam family "7SK RNA". From Rfam's summary of the family: 7SK was discovered as an abundant small nuclear RNA in the mid-70s but a possible function has only recently been suggested. Two independent studies have found that 7SK RNA binds the CDK9/cyclin T complex (known as elongation factor P-TEFb). Lineage: Eukaryota; Metazoa; Chordata; Mammalia; Rodentia; Bathyergidae. The record is from Rfam by way of RNAcentral.
GGAUGUAAGGGCGACCUGGCUGUGACAUCUGUCACCUUAUUGAUAGCCAGGGGUGAUUUGGCUGCUCUGGCCAGCCAGGCGAGUGUCCAACUCCUCCCUCACAGCUCCAUGUGCGUCCCUCCUGAAGCUGCUCACUCUGUGGAAGAGGAUAACCCCUGGUCAAAGGUAUGGGAGUAUCAGCGCUUCCCUGCUAGAACCUCUAAAGAAGCUCCCAAGGUCCUAAACUCUCUAGAGAUAUCUAUGGCUAAUAAUAAUGUGUUUCAAAGUUGCUAAAAGAAGAGAUUCUAAAUGGUCUUAUCAUU